This 1878-nucleotide ribosomal RNA is filed under the name Clostridium botulinum. RNAcentral describes it as "partial 23S ribosomal RNA". It matches the Rfam family "Bacterial large subunit ribosomal RNA", at positions 1 to 1893 of the family's 2925-position model. The record is from RNAcentral. Lineage: Bacteria; Bacillati; Bacillota; Clostridia; Eubacteriales; Clostridiaceae.
AGGUCAAGCUACAAAGGGCGCAUGGUGAAUGCCUUGGCAUCAGGAGCCGAUGAAGGACGCGAUAAGCUGCGAUAAGCUUCGGGUAGACGCACAUAGUCAGAGAUCCGAAGAUUUCCGAAUGAGGAAACUCACAUGGGAAACCCCAUGUAUCGUAAAGUGAAUACAUAGCUUUAUGAAGGUAAACCCAGGGAACUGAAACAUCUAAGUACCUGGAGGAAGAGAAAGAAAAAUCGAUUUUCUUAGUAGCGGCGAGCGAAAGGGAAAGAGCCCAAACCAAAGAUUUAUCUUUGGGGUUGCGGACAGAACAUUAACGAGAAAUUAUGGUUAACCGAACACAACUGGAAAGUUGGACCGUAGGGGGUAAUAGUCCUGUAGGUGAAAAUUAUAAUGAUCAAGUUCUGAUCCAGAGUACCACGAGACACGUGAAACCUUGUGGGAAGCAGGGAGGACCACCUCCCAAGGCUAAAUACUACCUGAUGACCGAUAGUGAAGCAGUACCGUGAGGGAAAGGUGAAAAGAACCCCGGGAGGGGAGUGAAAUAGAACCUGAAACCAUGUGCCUACAACCGAUCAAAGCACCUUAUGUGUGUGAUGAUGUGCUUUUUGUAGAACGAGCCAACGAGUUACGGUAUGUAGCAAGGUUAAGUACUUAAGGUACGGAGCCGAAGGGAAACCGAGUCUUAAUAGGGCGACUAGUUGCAUGCUGUAGACCCGAAACCGGGUGACCUAUCCAUGGCCAGGUUGAAGCGAGGGUAAAACCUCGUGGAGGACCGAACCACGUUGCUGUUGAAAAAGCAUGGGAUGAGCUGUGGAUAGCGGAGAAAUUCCAAUCGAACUCGGAUAUAGCUGGUUCUCCUCGAAAUAGCUUUAGGGCUAGCGUCGGAAAAUGUGAGUACUGGGGGUAGAGCACUGAAUGGGCUAGGGGGCAUAGCGCUUACCGAACCUUAUCAAACUCCGAAUACCAGAUACUAUCAGUCCGGCAGUCAGACUGCGAAAGAUAAGUUCCGUAGUCAAAAGGGAAACAGCCCAGAUCGUCAGCUAAGGUCCCAAAGUGUAAGUUAAGUGGAAAAGGAUGUGGGAUUUCUAAGACAACUAGGAUGUUGGCUUAGAAGCAGCCACUCAUUAAAAGAGUGCGUAAUAGCUCACUAGUCAAGAGAUCCUGCGCCGAAAAUGUCCGGGGCUCAAACUUACCACCGAAGCUACGGGUUCACACAAUAGUGUGAGCGGUAGAGGAGCGUCGUAAUCGGGCUGAAGUCGUACCGUAAGGAGCGGUGGACUGAUUACGAGUGAGAAUGUUGGCAUUAGUAGCGAGAUGUGGGUGAGAAUCCCACAGGCCGAAUACCUAAGGUUUCCUCAGGAAGGUUCGUCCGCUGAGGGUUAGUCGGGACCUAAGCUGAGGCCGAAAGGCGUAAGCGAUGGACAAUCGGUUGAUAUUCCGAUACCACUAUUAUCGUUAUUAUCGAUGGUGUGACGGAGAAGGAUAGGAUGUGCUAGCUAUUGGAUGCUAGUCUAAGCGUUUAGGGAGUUAGGAUAGGCAAAUCCGUUCUAACAAUUCUGAGGCGUGAUGGGGAAGGUUCUAAGGAACCGAAGUAUCUGAUUCCAUGCUUCCAAGAAAAGCAUCUAGAAAGAGAAAUAGUGCCCGUACCGCAAACCGACACAGGUAGGUGAGGAGAGAAUCCUAAGGCCGGCGGAAGAAUUGCAGUUAAGGAACUAGGCAAAUUGACCCCGUAACUUCGGGAGAAGGGGUGCCUGCGAGAGCAGGCCGCAGAGAAUAGGCACAAGCAACUGUUUAACAAAAACACAGGUCUCUGCUAAAGCGAAAGCUGAUGUAUAGGGGCUGACGCCUGCCCGGUGCUGGAAGGUUAAGGGGAACACUUAG